AUAGGAGAGAUGAUGUGCAAAGUUGAUCAUGUUGUUUAAAUUAGAUGUGAUAAUGAAAGUGCUAUAUGUAAUGACCCUUAUUGUCAUUUUUAGUGUUUUAUCUUCUGUACAUCGUUUAGAACGUUCCUAUAGCGAUUCCAAGUCAUUUAUGACUUGCUGGGACUGACAGAUCGGUCACCUGGUCAUUCGUUUGGUUAUUGUGUGACUUUUAGUAUUUUUGGAGCUUAUGAACCUUGAACGAUCAUUCUCGAUCAAAAGUUCAAGAAGAUGACAUCAGAAUCCAAUUCUGACGAUUCCAUCAGUUCCGGAAGGGUCAUUUUAGUCUAGUAGCAUUGUCGACAUGACUCCCAAAGUUUUCAGUGUGAGUUGGUGGGAUUAGGCGUUUUAACUUUAAGUUUAAAGGCUAAGUUUGACUUUAGUCAACAUUCUGAGUAAACGCGCUCGGAUGAGAAUUCCGUCAGCGCGGUUAGCUCCGGAAUGUCGAGUUUGGUCUAGUUUGACCCUUCUUUCGGGUUUUGAGGUUUUUGAUAUUUUUUCAAGCCCUUUUGUGGUUUUUGACUUAAAAUGGCCAAUGGAAGUGGGACCCACAUUUUAUCGAGAUGACCUCUGAUGAAAAUUUCGACUGCGCCUUUGAGUCCGGAAUGUCGACUUUGGUAGGGUAGCAUAUCUAUUUUAUUUUUAUCAGGUUCCAAACGAAUUCCGAGCACCCGUCGGAGACUUUAAAGAAAGUAGACAAAGCUGAAUCUGGUGCAGCCCUUAUAAAAACCCAACUUUCAGCUUUGUAUCUUACUUUAGAAUCUUGAUAUCUUGAGCUAUACAACUCCAAAUUGGGCGAUUCAAAAGGCUAAGUUGUGAGAUUUUUCGAGGGCAACACAUUGGUGAGCUUGGAAUCUGAUUUGGGGACCCGAUUUGAGGUCCGAAUCAAGUGAUUCAAGAGCCUAUAUUGUGUGGUUUUUCGUGAGGAUCGUCGUGGUGUGGUUGGUUUUGGCUGUUGGAGCUUCAUUUUUGGUAAAAUCUUGUAAGUAGCUGCUGCCAUAGUUGCUGAUUUUUAGCUUAGAAUUUGGGUUCUUUUGUUGCAUGUUCAUGUUGGGACUGUUUUGAGUCCUGAAUUAUGCUCCAUUAUGGUAUACAAGUUUCGAGAGUUAUUUAGGACUUUUAUUUGGGGUUAAUUCGGGAUUUUUCAACGCGGAUCCCACUUUUUCCAUUUUGACCAUGAAAUUGACCCGUCUCCGUUUCUUGCGAUUUUAGUGUAUCAACGUUUCGAGGCCUUUUAGAAAGUAAAAGAUCCGGGGAGUGAAUUUUGGAGCGCGCGUGAUCUGCGUUCAGGUAGGCUAUGGUUUCUCUUCUUAGAUUGAACUCGAACAUGUGAAUGCAUGUUGAUUAGUUGGGAUUUGGGUUGGGUAGUUAUUGGAUCAUGCAUAGGUGUUACAAAUCAUAUUUUCGCCUUUUUUCUGAGAAUUAUCGGGUAACUGUGAGCAUGUUUAUUGUUAUUAAUUGACCUUCUUUGCUAUAUGAAUUACUUGUAUGUUUGAAUACUGGUUGUCAGAAGUAUGUUGGGCCUUAGUUUAGGUUUGACUAGGGUUUUCCUUAGAAAUGCAUGAUUCAAAGUCGGUAGGACUUAGUUUAGCCCCGACGUCGCUCGGCCGACUUAAAUCCUUGUAGACUAAUGUAGCAGACUUGAGUCUGAUAGUUGGGUAUUUAGAAAGACGAUGAGCUUGCUCUAGCGAUUGUUACUCUUAUUUCUUCGAUGUUACGGCUUCUCGAGUUACGUCAGUGACAAUGAUUUCCGCUCCAUGAUUCAAAGUUGAGUUUCUAUUCGACUUUAAGGUCUUACAUUGAUUAGCUAAGUCUGGAUGGUGUUCCAUGGGUUUAUAUGAUUACGGAUAGA
Non-coding RNA from Solanum lycopersicum (tomato), 1888 nucleotides. Lineage: Eukaryota; Viridiplantae; Streptophyta; Magnoliopsida; Solanales; Solanaceae. The record is from RefSeq and is a predicted model, not a curated record.